This 292-nucleotide ribosomal RNA is filed under the name uncultured bacterium. RNAcentral describes it as "partial 16S ribosomal RNA". It matches the Rfam family "Bacterial small subunit ribosomal RNA", at positions 505 to 796 of the family's 1533-position model. The record is from RNAcentral.
GUGUCAGCAGCCGCGGUAAUACGAAGGGUGCAAGCGUUAGUCGGAAUUACUGGGCGUAAAGCGUGCGUAGGUGGUUUCUUAAGUCGGAUGUGAAAGCCCUGGGCUCAACCUGGGAAUGGCACUCGAUACUGGGAAGCUAGAGUGCGGUAGAGGAGGGUGGAAUUCCCGGUGUAGCGGUGAAAUGCGUAGAGAUCGGGAGGAACAUCAGUGGCGAAGGCGACCCUCUGGACCAGCACUGACGCUGAGGCACGAAAGCGUGGGGAGCAAACAGGAUUAGAUACCCUGGUAGUCC